Long non-coding RNA from Drosophila persimilis, 1122 nucleotides. RefSeq lists it as uncharacterized. NCBI's taxonomy places the organism in Eukaryota, Metazoa, Arthropoda, Insecta, Diptera, Drosophilidae. The record is from RefSeq and is a predicted model, not a curated record. The transcript has 3 exons.
AAUAAGAACGCAAAUCAAUGAGCAGGACAUCUAGAGAGCUGUCCGUUCCAACAUUCGCAGGACAUAGAGCAAAUGGUGUGCUGGACGAGGCUAUCAAGUGCAAUGUGAAUUCGGAACAGGAGCAAUGUUAAAACGGCGUUGGAAUAGAUGGCCACUUAGAUGACGAGAUUCCAAUAGCUCCGGACAGGACAGUGCAUAUAGUUGACAGCUCGUUGGCCAUAUCAAAUAUCCAAUAAUUAUCAACCCUACAUUACUCUUUAAAUGUAUUCGGUGUUGUGAUCAAAAGAAAAUACUUACAGGAGAUUGUUUAACCAGAUGGGGGAAAGUGACGACACAAUAACCAAAAAAAUAAAGACCAACCAAAAAAGUGUGGACAGUGCAACAAAAACAGCAAAUGACAGGGAAAAAGCGGAAGCAACGCAGAAGAGCAAAGUCUCCGUAUUGUUUUGGGGCUGCAGUUGAGACUGAAAAACGCCCGGAACGGAAAGUCAACAGAGUGAAUGCAGGGUACACAAGAAAGAACUUAAACAAAUUGAAUAUGAAUACACAGAGACGCAGAACAUACGAGUGUGCUUAUACUAGACUACAUCAAACAUUUGAAACGCUCGUGUGUUGGGGAAGCUCCGACCAGACAGGACUGGAAGUACACUAGUUGGAAACGUGACUAUGUCUGAGCCAAUGGAGGUGGCUAGUUCCCAACUAAUACUUGUCACAACAUCAACAAUAAACGGGAAAACGGAGACGAGGAAAAAGCGGCAGCGCCAAUGAAAUCAAUAAUUUUUGAGUGUCCUCAAGUGAUGGAGCAAACCAUUUCGCAGGACCUGUAUGUAUGGACUGUAUGACGGGUAAUCGGGAAAAGUAAGAUAUGCCGUCCGUACAUGGUAAGGGUAAAAAGGUAUCGGCUUGAACAUUGACAAACACACACUAACAACUGGUUGGUACCGACAACGACCCCCUUAAAGACAUGUCCCAAUUAAUGACUGAUCUAAGGGGUUUCAAAUUUAAGUGACACUGAAAGACCCGUCACAUAUCCCUCAUUAUGUUGUGCCCCUUUUGGGAAACAAGGGAGAGAGAUGUGUACGUUUGUAUUUACCUACAUUUGAUCUAUUUAGACCUUAUAUA